This is a non-coding RNA of Caenorhabditis elegans, 21 nucleotides long. The record is from Ensembl. Lineage: Eukaryota; Metazoa; Nematoda; Chromadorea; Rhabditida; Rhabditidae.
UGAAUUAUCUUCCACCACAUU